AAGUCGUAACAAGGUAACCGUAGGUGAACCUGCGGUUGGAUCAUUAAAAAAAUUUGAAGUUAGACUUCAUAAAAACACAAAGCCUCUUCGGAGGCCGAGUAAACCCCUUGUGAAUUGUACUGCUUCACGGCAGAUUGUAAACUAAAUAAGACUGAAUCAAUGAGAUAAAAUUAAAAAACAACUUUUAACAACGGAUCUCUUGGCUCUC
Molecule: unclassified non-coding RNA, 208 nt
Filed under: fungal sp.
Lineage: Eukaryota; Fungi
Also listed under: 1 other name
Description: partial internal transcribed spacer region
Rfam family: Eukaryotic small subunit ribosomal RNA (bases 1-46)
Source: RNAcentral